RNAcentral lists this long non-coding RNA (729 nucleotides) under Physcomitrium patens. Its description in RNAcentral is "long non-coding RNA (PPAT_LNC004901)". The record is from RNAcentral. Lineage: Eukaryota; Viridiplantae; Streptophyta; Bryopsida; Funariales; Funariaceae.
AGGAGUGCAAGAAGAUGACUUUGUUAUUUCUAUUGUCGUAAUGUGUAAAGUCUUGCUUGAGAAUGCUCCGGACACUUAGCUGUAGAAGGAAGAAUAGAAAUUGCGAUAAAAAAAUCCUAAUUCUAAUAGAAUAUUAACAAUACUCUAAUUAGACUAUAAUAAUGAUAAACAAACAUAAUCAAAUUCAAAACAACUCAAAGAAAUUUCAAACAAACAAUAAAAUUUUUAAAGAAUUAUUAGAAUGAUCACAAAUAUUACUCAAAUAUAAGUCAAUUCAACCUUAAUUUAAUUCUAGUUAAAACCCUAUUAAAUUUCACUCAAACUUUAGACUAAACUUAAUUAAAUCUUAAACCCUAAUAAAUCCUAAAUCCUAAGUCAAAUCCUAAAUAAAUAUUAAAUUAAAUCCUAAAUCAAAUCCUAUUUCAAAUCCUAAAUCCUAAAUCAAAUCCUAAAUCAAACCCUAAAUCAAAUCCUAAAUCCUAAUCCAAACUCUAAUCCAACCCUAAAUCCUAAUCCAAAUCCUAAACUCUAAACCAAACCUUAAAUCAAAUCCUAAUUCAAAUUCUAAAUCAAACCCUAACCAAAUCCUAAAUCCUAAUCCAAACCCUCAAUCAAAUCCUAAUCAAAUCCUAAAUCCUAAUCCAAUUCCUAAUUCAACCCUAAAUCCUAACCAAAUCCUAAACCCUAAUCCAAAUCCUAAUCCAAACCCUAAAUCAAACCCUAACCAAA